CGAAGGUGCAAGCGUUACUCGGAAUUACUGGCGUAAGCGUGCGUAGGUGGUUGUUAAGUCUGAUGUGAAAGCCCUGGGCUCAACCUGGGAAUUGCAUUGGAUACUGGCGAGCUAGAGUGCGGGAGAGGAUGGCGGAAUUCCUGGUGUAGCAGUGAAAUGCGUAGAUAUCAGGAGGAACAUCCGUGGCGAAGGCGGCCAUCUGGACCAGCACUGACACUGAGGCACGAAAGCGUGGGAGCAAACAGGAUU
Molecule: ribosomal RNA, 249 nt
Filed under: uncultured bacterium
Lineage: Bacteria
Description: partial 16S ribosomal RNA
Rfam family: Bacterial small subunit ribosomal RNA
Source: RNAcentral